Molecule: transfer RNA, 87 nt
Filed under: Gammaproteobacteria bacterium
Lineage: Bacteria; Pseudomonadati; Pseudomonadota; Gammaproteobacteria
Description: tRNA-Leu
Rfam family: tRNA
About the family: Transfer RNA (tRNA) molecules are approximately 80 nucleotides in length. Their secondary structure includes four short double-helical elements and three loops (D, anti-codon, and T loops). Further hydrogen bonds mediate the characteristic L-shaped molecular structure. tRNAs have two regions of fundamental functional importance: the anti-codon, which is responsible for specific mRNA codon recognition, and the 3' end, to which the tRNAs corresponding amino acid is attached (by aminoacyl-tRNA synthetases). tRNAs cope with the degeneracy of the genetic code in two manners: having more than one tRNA (with a specific anti-codon) for a particular amino acid; and 'wobble' base-pairing, i.e. permitting non-standard base-pairing at the 3rd anti-codon position.
Source: RNAcentral
GCCCGGGUGGCGAAACAGGUAGACGCAGGGGACUUAAAAUCCCCCGGUGGCGACACCGUGCCGGUUCGAUUCCGGCCCCGGGCACCA